GUUUACCGGAGCAGGAGAAAAACUGCUGACUUGGUCCGACACCGGUGUGACGCCUACCUACACCAACAGGGACUCGCGUCAAGACGGAAGCUCCAACGUUGAGUCCUGCGCCUACGUCAACCAAGGUGUGCACUUCUCCAGUCAGCCUGGCAAGUGGAGACAUGGAUCGUGCGGAUCCUGCUUGCCGUACAUGUGCGAGAGGUCGCCCGAUGACUGCCCGGUGGGUCGGCUGUGUUCCUACAAAGACUACGUAUUGGGCUACCAUCGAGUG
This is a long non-coding RNA of Syngnathus acus (greater pipefish), 271 nucleotides long. RefSeq lists it as uncharacterized. Lineage: Eukaryota; Metazoa; Chordata; Actinopteri; Syngnathiformes; Syngnathidae. The record is from RefSeq and is a predicted model, not a curated record. The transcript is spliced from 3 exons.